UUUGGGGGGGUUCAUGGUCAUGGUUGUCAAUUGUACCGCAGGAAUGGAGCUUAAAUCACAGGAUAGAGGAUAGAUGUUGUGGGGGCAGCUGCAGAGAAGUAUUUGGGUGUAUGAGAUUUUACUGCAGAAGAGUUACACAAUGUUUUGAACGAUAGUGUCCUGUCUUCCAAGGCUGCUGGCCUGGAGUAGGAUCAGACAGGGCCAAAUUAGUGGAAUAGUGGUGAGGUUUUAGUGGGUGCAGUGUUAGUUGGUAUAGUGGUCAGGUUUUAAUGGGUGCAGGGUUAGUUGGUAUAGUGGGGAGGUUUUAAUGGGUGCAAGUGUAACCAAUGUGAAAUGGCUAGCUAGUUAGCGGUGGUGCGCGCUAAUAGCGUUUCAAUCGGUGACGUCACGCGCUCUGAGACCUUGAAGUAGUGGUUCCCCUUGCUCUGCAAGGGCUGCGGCUUUUGUGGAGCGAUGGGUAACGAUGCUUCGAGGGUGACUGUUGAUGUGUGCAGAGGGUCCCUGGUUCGAGCCCAGGUUGGGGCGAGGAGAGGGACGGACUAAAGUUAUACUGUUACACAAGGUUAGUUGGAAUAGUGGUGAGGUUUUAAUGGGUGCAGGGUUAGUUGGUAUAGUGGGGAGGUUUUAAUGGGUGCAGGGUUAGUUGGUAUAGUGGGGAGGUUUUAAUGGGUGCAGGGUUAGUUGGUAUAGUGGGGAGGUUUUAAUGGGUGCAGGGUUAGUUGGUAUAGUGGGGAGGUUUUAAUGGGUGCAAGGUUAGUUGGUAUAGUGGGGAGGUUUUAAUGGGUGCAGGGUUAGUUGGUAUAGUGGGGAGGUUUUAAUGGGUGCAGGGUUAGUUGGUAUAGUGGGGAGGUUUUAGUGGGUGCAGGGUUAGUUGGUAUAGUGGCGAGGUUUUAAUGGGUGCAGGGUUAGUUGGUAUAGUGGCGAGGUUUUAAUGGGUGCAGGGUUAGUUGGUAUAGUGGGGAGGUUUUAAUGGGUGCAGGGUUAGUUGGUAUAGUGGGGAGGUUUUAAUGGGUGCAGGGUUAGUUGGUAUAGUGGGGAGGUUUUAAUGGGUGCAGGGUUAGUUGGUAUAGUGGGGAGGUUUUAAUGGGUGCAAGGUUAGUUGGUAUAGUGGUGAGGUUUUAAUGGGUGCAGGGUUAGUUGGUAUAGUGGUGAGGUUUUAAUGGGUGCAGGGUUAGUUGGUAUAGUGGGGAGGUUUUAAUGGGUGCAGGGUUAGUUGUUAUAGUGGUGAGGUUUUAAUGGGUGCAGGGUUAGUUGGUAUAGUGGUGAGGUUUUAAUGGGUGCAGGGUUAGUUGGCACGUGCUCCGUUGUUUCCAUUUUGGUGAAAGGUUACGUCCUGCCUACUGUAGCAGAGGCGAAGAGAGAGAGAGAGAUGUCUGUAUUCUCCAGCAGGCGGUGUCACUCACCAAGCAAGGAGUUGUUGUAUGGAGGUGAAUCUAUGUCAAAUUUGGUUAACAAAAACGGUAUGGCUUAUUUGAUUGAAUAGAAGUUUCGUAAUGCUUAGGGUGUUCACACGCGUAUAGCUCUCAUUGGCUAGAAUGGCCCAACUUGAUCUUGCCUCCUCAUUGACUGCCUUCCAUUUUUGAAGACAUUUAUUGUUCAUUGUUAAGUUAAGAGUGGCCAGUGUGUGUGUGUGUGUGUGUGUGUGUGUGUGUGUGUGUGUGUGUCUGAACAAGUAUAAAACCAAGGUAGUUAAUUUACUGUCACCUGCAGUUAUGGAACGUUUCCUCAUGCGCAAAACACCCCAGGAGCGGGCGGGCAGAGAGGAUGGGAGUGGUAAAACCCCUACAGCUUGAACAUGGUUGCGAUUCUAGCUUGGCUGGUGGUGCAUUUGGUAGUUGACGAGAUUUGAUAAAUAACUGGUACUUCAAAUGAACGAAUCCCUGUCAGUUAUGUGUAGUAUCUGCAUACUAAUACCAUCAGUAUUAAGCUUUUGUUGAAAAGAAUAAAACAAAUAUAUAAACACAUAUAUAUAUAUAUAUAUACAAUUUUUAAAAUAUGGUUGCUUGCAACUUGGGGAAUAAUAUAUACAGUUUUGUACACCCUCAAAAAAAGUCUAACUUUUCAACAGAUUACAUUGAAAUAAAUUGUACAUUUUCACCUCCCUCUCUCUCUUUCAACAUCGCCAACUACACCUCCGAUGAUAGUUCUGGCUUUUGCUUUCACUGUAUGCUAGCAGGAUAGUCCAUAUCUCCAAUCUGCUUUGCUGGUAAAGCCUCAACCCAUAGCCUUUUUUUUUACAAGUACAAACUUUUUUUUGUGUGACAGAGAUAAAUUGCAAAAAUAGAGAAACGCUCUACUCGAGCAACUUUCUACUUGAGCGCAGCAGCAAGGCCGACAGAGCGUUAGCUGCCCACCCAACGGCUGCAGUUGGGUCAUUAUCAUUCAAAACAAUGUAUUCUAAAAUAAAUUGCACGAGCGCCUUCAGUGAGUUUAGGCCUUUAGGAGGAUAUUUCACUGAUUGAUCCCUCCCCAUGACCUAGAUAUACUGUUGCUAGCCACAAUAUACUGUUGCUAGCCACAAUAUACUGUUGCUAGCCACAAUAUACUGUUGCUAGCCACAAUAUACUGUUGCUAGCCACAAUAUACUGUUGCUAGCCACAAUAUACUGUUGCUAGCCACAAUAUACUGUUGCUAGCCACAAUAUACUGUUGCUAGCCACAAUAUACUGUUGCUAGCCACAAUAUACUGUUGCUAGCCACAAUAUACUGUUGCUAGCCACAAUUCUGACGUGUGCUCUGACAUCUGCUUCGCUGAUUUCUGCUCUCGUAAUAUCCUGGGUUUUCUGCACGUUAACGUGUGGUUUCACAGCUCCAUUUCAGAUGUGUUGGUCAUUACUGAGACGUGGUUAAGGAAGAGUGUUUUGAGUACUGAUGUUAACCUUUCUGGUUAUGACCUUUUUCGGCAAGACAGAUCUUCCAAAGGUGGUGGAGUGGCAAUCUUUACCAAGGAUCACCUACAGUGGUCAGUUGUCUCCAUCAAGUCUUUCCCCAAACAAUAUGAUUUGCUGGUUUUAAGCAUUAAACUUUCAAAUAGCUCUUCGUUGACUGUUGUUGGGUGAUAUUGUCCUUCAUCAGCACCGGCCUGUACCCUGCCCACCCUAAUCUCUCUCCUGGCCCCUUACACUAAGUCUGAAUUUGUCCUGUUAGGUGACCUAAACUGGGACAUGCUUAAACCAUCUGACCAAGUACUAAAGCAACGGGACUUGCUAAAUCUUUCUCAGAUUAUUACCAAUCCCACAAGGCAUGACUCCAAACAUCCAGAAAAGGCUACUCUCCUCAACGUUAUCCUCACAAAUAAUCCUGAUAGGUACCAGUCUGGUGUUUCCUGUAAUGACCUUGGUAGUGGUAUUGUUAACGAACACGCCCCCAUAAAGAAAAGUAUAAUUAAAAACCGGUUCAGCCCCUGGUUUGACCGUAAUCUUGCAGAGUUACUCCACCUUAAGAAUUGCAUUUGGUGAAAGGCUCUGCACACACAUACUCAGGCUGACUGGCUCUCGUUCAGGCAAAUGAGAAAUAAGUGCACUCAGGCUGUCCGGAAGGCUAAAGUUAGUUACUUUAAGGAGCAGUUCUCUCUCUGUGGGUCUAACCCCAAGAAGUUCUGGAAAACGGUGAAAUACCUGGAUAAUAAACUCUCCUCCUCACAGCUGCCCAUGUCCCUUAAUGUUGAUGAUGUGGUUGUUACUGACAAUCUUUAAUCACCACUUCAUUAAGUCAGGAAUCCUAUUUAACUCAGCCAUGCCUCCUUGCCGUCCAACAUUUCUUCAUCUCCCACCCCUUCUAAUGCAACUAUCCCAGAUGCUUCUCCCUCUUUUCCCCCUGACCCGCUACAAAGUUUCUCCCUGCAGGCAGUCACAGAGUCCGAGGUGCUAAAGGAGCUCCUUAAACUUGACCUCAAAAAAACAUCUGGGUCAUAUGGUUUAAGAUCCUCGUGUCGUCUUAAGGGUCAAAAAUGACCCGCCACUAUAUUUAACAGCAGAGAAAACCUCCUAAAUGAUAUUUUUUCAACUUGAAAUUGGUUGACUUUUCCUAGAGUGACCCCAACAUUAUAAAAAGUGAAACAUCGCCUUUGUUCCUAUUUCCAUUAAGGCUGUACACCACCUCGGUACAAAGGUUGUCUUAAGGGUAAUUUUUGACUCGGCAGUUAUACAAUAAUUUACACACCACAUAAACCACAAAGACACACACAAUGAGAAAUGUAGAUUAUGUGUACUACUGAUUUGAACUCUGCAAGCAGCUCCUGAACAGGAAGAUCACCAUGGUCGGCACAGUUAGAAAGAACAAGCCUGACCUCCCCCUGCACUUCUCGCAACAAGGCGAAGAGAGGCCUUCUCAUCAAUGUUUGCCUUCACCCCCACCACCACUCUAGUUUCUUACCUCGCAAAGAGGAAGAAGAAUGUGGUUCUUCUGAGCACACUGCACAAAACGGCUGAGACCAGUGAUCGUGAGGACAGGAAACCAGCCAUCAUCCUGGUCUACAAUCACAACAAAGAAGGGAGCGCCUCCCCCGUAAAGCAGCCUCUGCAGCGCUUGUGAAAGCUGUUCAAGGGGCUGAAUCUUGUCCUGAGCCACCUGAGGCUGCAGCUGGGGCAGUCAAGAGGAGGAUAUGCUAAUUCUGCCUUCCAAAGAAGGACUGUAAAACAAAUACUAUGUGCUGCACAUGCGAGAAAUACAUCUGCAAAGUCCAUGCACACACACUUGCAUACUGUCCUUCAUGUGCUAAUUAGAGUUGAUUGAUUUAUGUUCUUCACAUUUUUGUUUUGUAUCUGUUAUCUUAUUUUGUUCUUAUGUAUUGAUGUUGUUUAUGCACCUUGUUGGUGUGGGCAAUGGUUUUUAAAAAAUGGUAGAAGACUAGUAUUUUGUAGGUAAAUUCCUAAUUGAACAGUAUAUAAGAAUAUAUCACUAUGUUGCCAAAAAAGUUCAAUACUGUUAUUGUGUCCCUUCAUUAAAAUACAUUCAAACUA
This is a long non-coding RNA of Oncorhynchus keta (chum salmon), 4960 nucleotides long. RefSeq lists it as uncharacterized. NCBI's taxonomy places the organism in Eukaryota, Metazoa, Chordata, Actinopteri, Salmoniformes, Salmonidae. The transcript is spliced from 2 exons. The record is from RefSeq and is a predicted model, not a curated record.